RNAcentral lists this ribosomal RNA (1475 nucleotides) under uncultured Actinomycetes bacterium. Its description in RNAcentral is "uncultured actinobacterium partial 16S ribosomal RNA". It matches the Rfam family "Bacterial small subunit ribosomal RNA". Lineage: Bacteria; Bacillati; Actinomycetota; Actinomycetes. The record is from RNAcentral.
AGAGUUUGAUCAUGGCUCAGGACGAACGCUGGCGGCGUGCUUAACACAUGCAAGUCGAGCGAUGAGAUCACUUCGGUGAAGGAUUAGCGGCGAACGGGUGAGGAACACGUGAAGAAUCUGCCUUCAACUCUGGGAUAACUCCGGGAAACCGGGGCUAAUACCGGAUAUGAGCCUUGAUCGCAUGAUCGGGGCUGGAAAGUUUUUCGGUUGAAGAUGACUUCGCGGCCUAUCAGCUUGUUGGUGAGGUAAUGGCUCACCAAGGCGACGACGGGUAGCCGGCCUGAGAGGGCGACCGGCCACACUGGGACUGAGACACGGCCCAGACUCCUGCGGGAGGCAGCAGUGGGGAAUAUUGGGCAAUGGACGAAAGUCUGACCCAGCGACGCCGCGUGCGGGAUGAAGGCCUUCGGGUUGUAAACCGCUUUCAGCAGGGAAUAAGCGCAAGUGAAGGUACCUGCAGAAGAAGCACCGGCUAACUAUGUGCCAGCAGCCGCGGUAAUACAUAGGGUGCAAGCGUUGUCCGGAAUUAUUGGGCGUAAAGAGCUCGUAGGUGGUUUGUUACGUCGGUUGUGAAAUUCAGGGGCUCAACCCCUGACUUGCAGCCGAUACGGGCAAGCUAGAGUUUGGUAGGGGAGACUGGAAUUCCUGGUGUAGCGGUGGAAUGCGCAGAUAUCAGGAGGAACACCGAUGGCGAAGGCAGGUCUCUGGGCCAAUACUGACACUGAGGAGCGAAAGCGUGGGGAGCGAACAGGAUUAGAUACCCUGGUAGUCCACGCCGUAAACGGUGGGCGCUAGUUGUGCGAACCUUCCACGGUUUGUGCGACGCAGCUAACGCAUUAAGCGCCCCGCCUGGGGAGUACGAUCGCAAGAUUAAAACUCAAAGGAAUUGACGGGGCCCCGCACAAGCAGCGGAGCAUGCGGCUUAAUUCGAUGCAACGCGAAGAACCUUACCUAGGUUUGACAUGGACGUGGUACCCGGGGCGAAAGCUUUGGGGACCCGCAAGGGAGCGUUCACAGGUGCUGCAUGGCUGUCGUCAGCUCGUGUCGUGAGAUGUUCGGUUAAGUCCGGCAACGAGCGCAACCCUCGCCUCCAGUUACCAGCGAGUAAAGUCGGGGACUCUGGAGGGACUAACCCGUUAGGGUGGGAAGGUGGGGAUGACGUCAAGUCAGUAUGGCCCUUACAUCUAGGGCUGCACACGUGCUACAAUGCCUGGUACAAAAGGAACCAAGACCGCGAGGUGGAGGAAAUCCCUAAAGCCAGGCCCAGUUCAGAUUGGAGUCUGCAACUCGACUCCAUGAAGCCGGAAUCGCUAGUAAUGGUAGAUCAGCUACGCUACCGUGAAUACGUUCCCGGGCCUUGUACACACCGCCCGUCACAUCAUGAAAGCCGCUUCCGCCCGAAGUAUCCGAGCCAACCGCAAGGGGGCAGGGUCCUAAGGCAGGGGUGGUGAUUGGGAUGAAGUCGUAACAAGGUA